RNAcentral lists this long non-coding RNA (930 nucleotides) under Calidris pugnax (ruff). Its description in RNAcentral is "lncRNA (ENSCPUG00000014375.1)". Lineage: Eukaryota; Metazoa; Chordata; Aves; Charadriiformes; Scolopacidae. The record is from RNAcentral.
AUGCCUAUGUUUCUACAGUAAGCCAAUCUGAUUGCUAUGUGAGCCUCUGGUUGCCAACUGCUUCAGAUGAAAAAUUCCACACCAAAACCAUCAAAAACUGCAGAAAUCCUGUGUGGAAUGAAGCUUUCUACUUCCGGAUACAGAGACAAGUCAAGAAUAUUUUGGAAAUUACUGUUUCUGAUGAUGACAUCAUUCAUGAUGACGACCAGGCAAUUGUGCUUUUUGAUGUAGCUAAAAUCCCCCUUGGGGAAAGAGUGUUUACAGCAUUCCCACUAAAUCCACAGAGGAGGGAGGAGCUGGAAGUCGAGUUUGUACUGGAGAGCAUGUGAGUAGAACCCCAUUAUUAUGGGAGCAGCGGCUUGGAGUGGUGCAUCAGUGCAGGGACCCCAGUAUCACCUUAAUAGCCAGACUGACCCUUUUUUGAAACUUAAUGUGUGCAUCAGCAAAUCAUUGUAAGAAAGAAAAAUGCCAUGAUGUGGAAAAGGAGCUCAGAAUUUUUAAUUCCGUGACUUUAUCUUAAAAUUUAUCUAUUACUUACAUAAUUCAGAGUUGAUUUUCUGGGGCUGGUAAAUCCCACUGCAGUAAGGCUAUAGAUUUUCUGAAGAGGGUUCUCUGGGCAGCUCACAGCUGAGGAGAAGCUGGCUGAUACCCAAUCUGUGACAUACCUGUGCUAUUAAGGUUGUUACAAGUACUUUCCAGGUGCUUUCUUGCAAUUGAAUAAUUUCUGAUAGGUAGUUCUGUGGCAUCUAGUGAAAAGUGAGCAUACCCCUGCAAAUAAUAGGAAGGAGAAAAUUUUUAAAAAAAAAAAAAAAGAGAGAGAAAGAUGUGUCCUGUUCAGAAUAUAUAUUGUUUAUGAAAUAUUUAUUAUUUGUACUUAUUUUCUAGCCGGGGUCCUCCUGAAGCCAUCAUCACAAAUGGGGCAAUAGUGGU